UACGUAGGGUGCAAGCGUUAUCCGGAAUCACUGGGCGUAAAGCGUGCGUAGGCGGAUGUUUAAGUGAGAUGUUAAAUCGUGUGGCUCAACCAUAUCGAUGCAUCUCAUACUGGGCAUCUAGAGGAAAGCAGAGGCAAGUGGAAUUGGUAGUGUAGCAGUGAAAUGCGUAGAUAUUACCAGGAACACCAAUGGCGAAGGCAGCUUGCUGGGCUUUUUCUGACGCUGAGGCGCGAAAGCCAGGGGAGCGAACGGG
Molecule: ribosomal RNA, 253 nt
Filed under: uncultured bacterium
Lineage: Bacteria
Description: partial 16S ribosomal RNA
Rfam family: Bacterial small subunit ribosomal RNA
Source: RNAcentral